Alnus glutinosa is the source of this 2237-nucleotide long non-coding RNA. RefSeq lists it as uncharacterized. The transcript has 2 exons. The record is from RefSeq and is a predicted model, not a curated record. Lineage: Eukaryota; Viridiplantae; Streptophyta; Magnoliopsida; Fagales; Betulaceae.
GUGUUUAUUUGCUGUGCUACUACUUUGCUUCCACUUAUAGGCAAGUUCUAUAAUCUCAACACCAAUUGUUUCCUCCUUAGGGAUUGGUAUUGCUUCCUACUAUUAAGAAUAACCGAUCUCAGAGGAAGCAACGUCAAAGAAAAACUGCCUAAGAUGAACAACACUAGAAUAAACUUUUGUUGCCAAAAACAAGGGAAAGCUGAGAGAGAGGUACAACGGGUGCUUAUGAUUUCAAAUUAUGAGUUGUACCUCAAAAAAUACUGAGGCUAAGGCUGUAAAAGAAUCAAACUGUUCAAUAACAGUUUUACUUAGAGCUUGGUUCGGUCCGUUUAAUAAACAAGUCGAGCUAGAACAAUAAUUAUUACUCUAAUAUUAAACGAUUCAAAUUUGGAUAAAUUCGGCUUGGCUUGGUUUAAGAUUGUUAGCAAUGGCUCGAUAAGUUUGUUGAUAUAUAUAUAUAUACCCAUUAAAAUAUUAACUUUAUAUGAAUGGGAGUAUAUGUAUGUAUUCAAAUAUGUAUACGAUAAUAACUUUACUAUAUUAACAUAUACAUAAAUACAACUAAAAUAUGCUAGUGUAUACUAAACAAGUUUGCAACAGGAAUUCAACUUAGUAAAGGCCCAUUCAAGUUGUCUUCGCCCACAUUUUCAUAUGCGAUAACUUUAUUUGAAUGCGUUAUCGAAGAAAGAAGCCUACUUGAAGAAAUAUUUGAAAAGUGUGUGAGUGGUAGGGUAUACGUUUGAAAAGUAAUUUGUAUUCUAAAAAUCUGUUUGGUAACAUAACAAAGAAGAGAAUUUUUCAGUGUUUAGUUAAAAAUAGUGUUUAGAUAGCAAACCAAACACACUCUUUAAGAAUUUUAUUUGUUUGUGUGGAGCUCUUAGGAAAAGCCAAAGGUAGUUGGAUUGCUGGUGAUGGUGUCAUUUCAUUGUUGUCCCAACUUUGACCCUUUUGUCACUUGCAAUUGACGAGUGGAGCUUUUGGUAGGGCGGCCAUAACUUUAUCAACAAAUUCAAGUCUAGAUUCGGUCUUCUCAGCCCCCGCUCCUUUCCUUCUGGAGAUGAUGAUGAAAAGCAUUGAUUGGCUCAAUUAUCCACAUCAAGCUUGAAAAUCCGAGAAAGGCCACCGAAAGCAGGAAAAAAAGCAGGCCCACCACCACCACUGUCUCCGUCUCCGUCGUCUAUAUUAUCAAUGAAAAGAAUUGAGAUGGAAGUUCAGGCCACUCCAUAUAUGGCUCUAUGGAUGAUGCCUUAAUUAACUUUCUCCUCCGAUCCACCCCUUUGCUUUCUGCAAUUUUUCCCUUUAUUAUUAUUAUUAUUAAUAUUGUUGUUAAAGCAAAGAUCAGAUAUGCUGGAGGUGCGGAAGGGUCGUAUUUCCGGUGACGGCCGGGAAAUCAACGAUCUCUGCAAGUGCCAUCUCUCCUGUAACAAUGUAGAAAUGAAUUCUCCAUCUCCCGACGGUGGAAGAGCGACAAUGAUUUCACGCAGGAACAUAUUCCUGCCACCGCAGCUUUACAAAAUGGGAAGACACGUGUCAGAAGGCCACCUCUCGACAUUACCAGCACUAAGAAUGCCAAGCUCGUUCCCUGCAGCUGCCUGCCCAAACAAUUGAAAUUAUUGUUAUUAUUAUUUGAGUAAUGCUAUAUACUAUAUCUCAUCUCAAUUCCGCUCGCUUUUAUAAUUUUGUUGGGACGAUCGAUGAUCAAGCUUGUUCGUUGGCUCUUGGAUCAAGCAUGCUGAUCUUUAAUUUCCUUGGUCUCUCUGUCAUCACUUUUUUACUGGUUAGGCUGGAGUGUGAUUGUGCAAGAUCUGUUGUUUUUGGAUUUUUUUUUCUUUCUGAAAUUUCUUUGUAAUAUAUUAUAUAUAUAGAGGCCACCCCCUCUUUUCCCCAUGGUGCUUGCGGAGAGAGAGUUUGGGGUGAGUUUCUAUUGUGAAUUUGUGAUACCUCCAGAGAAAGAUCGAGAGAGGAACCGUGUGAGAGAGAAAUGGCAAGAGAGCGAUGCAAACAAGCUGGAAGAAGCAGCGGGACUUUUGAUGUUAAAGUUUUUUUUUUUUUUUUUUUUUUUUUUUUUUUUUUUUUUUUUUUUUCUUCUUCUUUUUUACAUCGUCCAAACAAAGGAAGAAGGAUUUCAACUAAUGAUUUUCGCUUCAUGAAGCGUGGUUCCCGGCUUAUUGAGCUAUCCCUUGGAGACAAUAAUGUUGUAGUUUUAAUAAGUAAUUCCAUGAGUUUUUUUUUUGUCC